This 397-nucleotide ribosomal RNA is filed under the name uncultured bacterium. RNAcentral's name for it is "partial 16S ribosomal RNA". It matches the Rfam family "Bacterial small subunit ribosomal RNA", at positions 523 to 918 of the family's 1533-position model. The record is from RNAcentral.
AUACGUAGGUGACAAGCGUUAUCCGGAUUUACUGGGCGUAAAGGGCGUGUAGGCGGUCUUGCAAGUCAGAAGUGAAAUUCCUGAGCUCGACUCGGGCGCUGCUUCUGAAACUGCAGGACUUGAGUGCUGGAGGGGAUAGCGGAAUUCCUAGUGGAGCGGUAAAAUGCGCAGAUAUUAGGAAGAACACCGGUGGCGAAGGCGGCUAUCUGGACAGUAACUGACGCUGAGGCGCGAAAGUGUGGGGAGCAAACAGGAUUAGAUACCCUGGUAGUCCACACUGUAAACGAUGAAUGCUAGGUGUAGGGGGUAUCGACCCCUUCUGUGCCGCAGUCAACACAAUAAGCAUUCCGCCUGGGGAGUACGGCCGCAAGGUUGAAACUCAAAGGAAUUGGCGGGG